RNAcentral lists this small RNA (448 nucleotides) under Pan troglodytes (chimpanzee). RNAcentral describes it as "retained intron". The record is from RNAcentral. Lineage: Eukaryota; Metazoa; Chordata; Mammalia; Primates; Hominidae.
AAAGGGAAGCUUUUAAUAAACACAUAUUUUUCUCUCCCCGAACUUCCCUCCCCCAAAUUCAGGAGUUGGCCGAGGAAAAGAUAUCUCCACCAUCACAGGUCAUCGUGGGAAAGACAUCUCUACUAUUUUGGAUGAAGAAAGAAAAGAAAAUAAACGACCCCAGAGGGCAGCUGCUGCUCGAAGGAAGAAACGCCGGCGAUUAAAUGAUCUGGACAGUGAUAGCAACCUGGAUGAAGAAGAGAGCGAGGAUGAAUUCAAGAUCAGUGAUGGAUCUCAAGAUGAGUUUGUUGUGUCUGAUGAAAACCCAGAUGAAAGUGAAGAAGAUCCGCCAUCUAAUGAUGACAGUGACACUGACUUUUGUAGCCGUAGACUGAGGCGACACCCCUCUCGGCCAAUGAGGCAGAGCAGGCGUUUGCGAAGAAAGACCCCAAAGAAAAAAUAUUCCGAU